Alosa sapidissima (American shad) is the source of this 1021-nucleotide RNA transcript. It is a transcript of the gene named complement C1q-like protein 4, with no coding region annotated. The record is from RefSeq and is a predicted model, not a curated record. The transcript has 3 exons. NCBI's taxonomy places the organism in Eukaryota, Metazoa, Chordata, Actinopteri, Clupeiformes, Clupeidae.
UUGAUAACCUCAGUGAAAUACUCACAAAGGCUGCUCUGUUGGUGAUGCUGUUUUUUUGCCCAUGAACAUUGCUUUUGUUGAUGAUAGGUAUAACAUGCGUGAAAUGUUCAAACAAGGAAAUUAGAUUGAAUGAAUGUUAACAACUUUGCCAGAAUACAGGAACCUGGAGAAGGGGUGCCACUGCUCUUGACGUGAUAACAUAUCUGAAACUAAACAUUUCCUGGUAAAAAACUGUAAAUAUACACAACCAAGACUGGAAUUCUGUAGUUCUCACUUCGAGGUCCCAAUAAAGCUAAUUUGGACAUCCUACGUAUCCAGCUUUCCUCACAGGCUAUCAUGGAAAUCAAAGCAGUUCUAAUGAUGAUCAUUUCACUCAUAUGUCUUAUUAGACCAAUCCAAUCCAAUGUGAGUAAAUGGCAAGUUAUAUUCUUCCUGGUAUGCAGUAAUUGUAUUAAGACUUGUGCGAAAGUCAAGUAACAUGUCAUAAGAUAGCAUAAGUCAGAAGUAUACUAUCGUUAAUGUAAAAAAAACAAAAAACAUUCCUUAUCAUUUUCAAACUAGGGUGGAAACAUUGUGGACGUAACCAAGCCAAUGACAGUGCAUUUCUAUGCUGCACACCCAUAUGAAAUCAAGGGACGCAUCAACAUCAUCCGCUUCAGUGAUGUCAUCCUGAAUGAGGGAUUUGCGUUCAGUGGGAAAACGGGCAUCUUCACAGCACCAGUCAAUGGAAUCUACCAAUUUUUCUACUCAUUCCAUAGUCACAGAGGUAAUGCAAACAAUCAUUGGCAUCUGCGGGUCAAUGGUGUUGUUAAAGCUUUGUGCCAUUCGCAAGUUCGCUCAGGAUCCACUGUUGGUAGCAUGUGCACCUACAUGACUGAGUUAGCAAAGAACGAUGCACAAAAUUUGUGAUAACCAAAAAAAUUGUCAGACAGUUAGUUUACAGUUAAAUGUGUGUCUGUAGGGGUGUGUUGAUUCAUAUUAAUCUAGAUGGAAUAUAAGAAUUUUUUACAUGUCUUGCAAA